This is a long non-coding RNA of Mobula hypostoma (lesser devil ray), 247 nucleotides long. RefSeq lists it as uncharacterized. The transcript has 3 exons. NCBI's taxonomy places the organism in Eukaryota, Metazoa, Chordata, Chondrichthyes, Myliobatiformes, Myliobatidae. The record is from RefSeq and is a predicted model, not a curated record.
GGGCUGUGUGGUGUGGUGUCCAGGCUGGAAUCGGUGUGGCUCCCCCCAACUCCAGUAUUCCCUCACCAGAAAACAAGUUGUGUUGUGGUCAACUGCAGAUUUCUGCGGCAUUCAUGGACUCAUGGAGGGGAGGGUGACCCCAACAAAGCAUUUUCUGCUGCCUGUGCCUAUGCAGCCACAAAGCAAGAAACCUGAAUAAGCCAAUUUUAAAAAAUACCAAAAACGAUUGCGCAGAGAAAGAGAGAGA